UACAUUUUAGUGUAAGAUGCACAAAAGUUUUUGAUUCUUUUAGGUUUAGUUUAAUUCUAAAAAAUGUAU
RNAcentral lists this transfer RNA (69 nucleotides) under Psilochorema bidens. RNAcentral describes it as "tRNA-Gln". The record is from RNAcentral. Lineage: Eukaryota; Metazoa; Arthropoda; Insecta; Trichoptera; Hydrobiosidae.